Molecule: ribosomal RNA, 253 nt
Filed under: uncultured bacterium
Lineage: Bacteria
Description: partial 16S ribosomal RNA
Rfam family: Bacterial small subunit ribosomal RNA
Source: RNAcentral
UACGGAGGGUGCAAGCGUUGUCCGGAUUCACUGGGUUUAAAGGGUGCGUAGGUGGGCAGGUAAGUCAGUGGUGAAAUCCUGUAGCUUAACUACAGAACUGCCAUUGAUACUAUUUGUCUUGAAUACCCUGGAGGUGAGCGGAAUAUGUCAUGUAGCGGUGAAAUGCUUAGAUAUGACAUAGAACAUCUAUUGCGAAGGCAGCUCACUACGGGAAUAUUGACGCUGAGGCACGAAAGCGUGGGGAUCAAACAGG